AAGCGGAGGAGCAUGUGGUUUAAUUCGAUGAUACGCGAGGAACUUACCUGGGCUCGAACGUAAGAUGACUGUAGGUGAAAGCUUACAUCUCUUCGGAGCAUUUUACGAGGUGCUGCAUGGUUGUCGUCAGCUCGUGCCGUGAGGUGUCGGGUUAAGUCCCAUAACGAGCGCAACCCUACCUUUAGUUGCCAUCAGGUAAUGCUGGGGACUCUAAAGGAACUGCCUACGCAAGUAGUGAGGAAGGCGGGGAUGACGUCAAAUCAGCACGGCCCUUACGUCCAGGGCUACACACGUGCUACAAUGGCCGAUACAGAGGGCAGCUACCUGGUGACAGGAUGCAAAUCUCCAAAGUCGGUCUCAGUUCGGAUCGGAGUCUGCAACCCGACUCCGUGAAGUUGGAUUCGCUAGUAAUCGCGCAUCAGCCAUGGCGCGGUGAAUACGUUCCCGGGCCUU
Molecule: ribosomal RNA, 453 nt
Filed under: uncultured Sphingobacteriales bacterium
Lineage: Bacteria; Pseudomonadati; Bacteroidota; Sphingobacteriia; Sphingobacteriales
Description: bacterial SSU rRNA
Rfam family: Bacterial small subunit ribosomal RNA
Source: RNAcentral